This 656-nucleotide long non-coding RNA is filed under the name Ananas comosus (pineapple). RNAcentral's name for it is "long non-coding RNA (ACOM_LNC021651)". The record is from RNAcentral. Lineage: Eukaryota; Viridiplantae; Streptophyta; Magnoliopsida; Poales; Bromeliaceae.
CAAUUAAUUAUAAAUAAUAAAUUAAUAAUAAUAAUUAUCUAAUUAUUAAUAAUUAAUUAUAAAUAAUAAAUUAUUUAAUUAUUUAAUUAUUAAAGUAAUAAAUAAUGAUUUAAAUAUAUUAAUUAGAUUAAUUAAUAAUUUACUGUCAUUAAAAUUAAAUUUAAAUUUUAAUUAAUCUUGUUCUCAUCAAGGAACAAGCUAGUUCCAUGAAACGGGUGGAACAACAAUUCCAGCCUUAUACCAGCUUGUUCCAGAAACUCAGGAACUACUGUUCCCGGAAACCAAACAUACCGUUUGGGAACAAAGGGGGGGAACAAGAGCUUAUUCCCCCCUUGUUCCCAAACCAAACGCUACCUAAGUAUCUUUCCGGAGUACCCCUGCAUGGGUUGGGUAUUUGGAUAUUUUGGUUUUGUUUGAUUUGGAUAUAAAUAAAAACUAACUUAUAUCAUGGAUAGAUACUAAAUUUAGAUAUAAAUUAGAACUAGACUAAUUUUAUAUUUAAAUAAAAAUUUAAUUGUUCAUUUAAUUUUAAAUAUCAAAUUUUAAAUUUAAUAGUAAAUUUAAAUUUAAAAGAUAUAAAAUAUUAAAUUUAAAACUUAAAAAUAUUAAAUUUAAAUUUUAAAAAAUUAAAUUAAAUUUUAAUUUAAAAUAAAAUU